This 214-nucleotide long non-coding RNA is filed under the name Theobroma cacao (cacao). RNAcentral describes it as "long non-coding RNA (TCAC_LNC001763)". Lineage: Eukaryota; Viridiplantae; Streptophyta; Magnoliopsida; Malvales; Malvaceae. The record is from RNAcentral.
GGAAGCCCCAUCAUCUCAUUUGGACAAUUAGGGGAAUUGGAGUCAUCUAAAGGCUCUACAAUCAAUUGGUGAGUGGACUGCCUUCAAAACUUGUUUUGGGAAAUAUAAUGUAUUUUCCACCCAUUUGAAUGAAUUAUCAAGUUUUUCACAAAGACAAGUGCCUUGGGAACAAGCUUUUGCAAAAUGAUUUUAUGUUGUGAUAUGUGAUUGCUAU